Molecule: long non-coding RNA, 982 nt
Filed under: Taeniopygia guttata (zebra finch)
Lineage: Eukaryota; Metazoa; Chordata; Aves; Passeriformes; Estrildidae
Description: lncRNA (ENSTGUG00000024099.1)
Source: RNAcentral
GCCAGGAGCUGGGCAAAGCACCUGCAGAAAGCCCCCAAGGAACGGCUGUGGUGAAGGUCCGAUGAUGCCAAACAUUUUCAUUUCUCAGGAGAAAAAGUCAGUGGUGCUUGGCAGGAUUUGGACUUCUCUGCAAGACACCUCUGAUCACAACACAUCCUCAUGGUUUGAAAAAUUCAUCCAAGAACCUGCAAUGUCACAAACAGGAGCUGGAGCUAAACAUGUCUGGGAAGACAAAUUCCUUAACUGUUCAGUGCUGAAGGACAUGUUAAUUUGUGAACCGUACCAAAAAGACAUUUUUAUAACACGUUUAACGCUCCAAAGCUAUGAGGGAACAGCAGCGAGAGUGAAGGAGGACAGCUCUGCUGGUAUUAAAAGGGUCAUUAAACUCAGCAUUAGGUCCCACUGUUUCUUGGUCAGAUCAGGUUUUUUGUUGUUUCAUGGGACAAGUUCUGUCCUUUGGUGAGUAAAGCAGGAUUGAUUUCAGUCAGAAGUAAUGUGUGUGUGCACCCAAGAACUGGCUUUUGUUCUGUAUGAAGCAACCACUCUCACUGAUUUAUGCCCCACAUUUUCAAAAAUGCAAUAAUAGCACUGCAUUGUCUAAAUCAGGAAUGUGUACAUUAUCCUAAAAGUUGAGAUGCAGGAGAGCAGAAGAACACCUUUGUCAGGUCAAGAAACGUGAUUAUUUCCAUGGCUACCAGCAGCUCUUAAUUGCCAUAAUAGGCUCUUAUUCGGGGAGAAGUAGUUAGGUUUGCACAGAAGAGUGAAUAGGUACUUUAUGAAAAAACCAUUAACUACAGAGAAAAGUUCUCAAAGUAGAACUGAAAUAUGGAACAAAAUACAGGCAGCUGCUUGGCAUCUCCAGAAAUAGUACACAGGGUGUUCUUAGUCAUCCAUGUCUUCUAUAGGGAAAACAACACAAAUAUCCCAUUAAAAUAUUUAAUUACUGUAAUACUCCUUAUUACCAACUAAACAUAAAUAAAAG